AUUGAACGCUGGCGGCAGGCCUAACACAUGCCAGUCGAGCGGAUGAAGGGAGCUUGCUCCUGGAUUCAGCGGCGGACGGGUGAGUAAUGCCUAGGAAUCUGCCUGGUAGUGGGGGAUAACGUCCGGAAACGGGCGCUAAUACCGCAUACGUCCUGAGGGAGAAAGUGGGGGAUCUUCGGACCUCACGCUAUCAGAUGAGCCUAGGUCGGAUUAGCUAGUUGGUGGGGUAAAGGCCUACCAAGGCGACGAUCCGUAACUGGUCUGAGAGGAUGAUCAGUCACACUGGAACUGAGACACGGUCCAGACUCCUACGGGAGGCAGCAGUGGGGAAUAUUGGACAAUGGGCGAAAGCCUGAUCCAGCCAUGCCGCGUGUGUGAAGAAGAUCUUCGGAUUGUAAAGCACCUUAAGUUGGGAGGAAGGGCAGUAAGUUAAUACCUUGCUGUUUUGACGUUACCAACAGAAUAAGCACCGGCUAACUUCGUG
RNAcentral lists this ribosomal RNA (484 nucleotides) under uncultured bacterium. RNAcentral's name for it is "partial 16S ribosomal RNA". It matches the Rfam family "Bacterial small subunit ribosomal RNA", at positions 30 to 507 of the family's 1533-position model. The record is from RNAcentral.